Molecule: long non-coding RNA, 778 nt
Organism: Gavialis gangeticus (Gharial)
Lineage: Eukaryota; Metazoa; Chordata; Crocodylia; Gavialidae
Exons: 2
Source: RefSeq, a predicted model, not a curated record
AGGAAGAAGGAGAGAAGCCAGGCCAGGCACUAGAUUCUGCCCAGGAAAGGUAAGUGAUCCAGCUGCCUGUACCUUUGGUUUAGCUGACUGUCUGUUUGUUUGGCACAUGUGUGCUCUGAGAAGCUGGAAGUGAGUGCUGAGUGACUGUUGAUUGCUGUGGGAUUGCUGACUGUGUGAUUGCUGCCUUGGCCUGAGUCAGCCCAAGCCCAGAAGGGUAUAAAAGGAGACCCACCCAGGUGACCAGGGAGCCUAUGACCAGGGAGACAGCGAACAGAGACUGCCAACAGGGGAGCAGUUUGCAGGCAGCUCGCAGGCCAGUCAUGGGCAGGAGUACACGGGAGCUUCUGACAGAGACUUCAGGACAAGAUUCCUGGUGGGGAUGCUGCAAGGGAAUGCCCUGAAGCAGAUGCUGGUGAGUGGAGGACGGUCAUCUCAGGGCCCAGACCUUCCAGCACAGAGACAGCUGCCCUGGUGCAGUUGGUGAACAAAUAUGAGGCCCUGGCUGCACUGGAGAAGUGUGCGGUGGGGGAAAGUGCACUGGAAGUGCCUGCCACCAUCACUGAGCAAGCUGGGGGCUGGCCAGGUAAGCAGAAGAGACUCUGCGUCAUCAUUGUGGGCAACUCCUUGCUGAGAGGAACAGAGGGACCCAUCUGUCAUCCGGAUCCCACAGUGCAUGAAGUCUGCUGCCUGCCUGGAACCAGGAUCAGGAAUGUCACGGCAAGAAUUCCUGACCUCAUCCAGCCCUCCGACAACUUUCCGACGGUCCGCAUCCAUGUGG